AAUAAUUUUAAAUAAGCACAUUUUAAACUGGAUUUUAUGCUUUCGGAGGCAGGACCCAUAUGUUUCUCCUUACUUUUCUGUUUCCCCAUAGCACCAAGCCUAUAGGCACACAGUGGGUGCUUUGUUAACUGCUUGUUGAUUACUUCCUCACACCCAUCCGAGUUUAAAUCUUACAGGUGCUGUCAGCUACUAGAGCAGAUGUGGCAGAGCCAUUCCAUGAUCAUAUUACAAAGAGUAGAACUCAUAAUUAUACCUUUCUCAGUAGACACAGGGCACCUCCCUUCUCUUUUGUUGUCUCCCCUUCCCCCACCUCACAACCAAACAAUGUGAAGGUAGGAUUAUGGCAGCUUUACUUAGGAGCGAAGUGUUUCUACAAUAAGUCAUAACUCUAAGAGUCCUCCAGACUUAAAAGAUAACUUUACUACUACAUGGUGAAAGUUUGAAUAGAUCAUAAUUUAUUCCUGUAGAUCUAUGAAGGAUUCUUUCUGUAACCAGAAGGAACUUUAUAACCAGCCUUAUAUUUUUAUUUUAAAAUAUAUUUCUCUAAUUUCCCCCUUCCUGUUCUCCUCAAAAUAUCAACCAAAAUUAUGAAAAUGUGCCUAACCUAGUGACUUUCCAAUAGCAUUUAAAAUUACUUUUAUCCUAACACCAUGAACAGUUAUUUACCCCUUCGAGUCAUGAAUUGGACACUAAAUUUGGGUCUUGGGUCAGGUCCAUAAACACCCUUCAUCACCCUUUGGAAUAAAACCAGCAUGUGCUACAGUUGGCAAAAUCAUCGUGGGCAUAAAGAAAAUCCGUUUCUUCAAACGAGAUUGCGAGUUCUUGGAAUAGUAUUUUAUAGCAUUGUUUAUCCUUGAAUCUCUUGUUUUUUAAGUGUAGAAUUUAUAAGAAAAAAGUUAUUAUACAGCUAACUAUAGCAUUUUAGAAGAAAAUCAGCUCUGUGAAUCAUCAGGCUCCAUACUUCUUGGCUCGUUACUCUACUGAUUUUGAUCCCUCCAUGAGGGGAUUAAGGUUGGGAGGAGCGGUGAAAUUUACGUUAGUUGAUAUUAUUUUAUCAGAGGUCUCAUAUAUGGUUUAUUGUAAAGGAAUUAAAUAUAUAGAGGCCUAAUUUUUAACAAAUUAGCCAUGUUGUUCCAAACCUCCAUUAUGAGCAUUAUCUUGGGGUUAGUUGUCAAUGAUAGACUUUACAUUUUAUAUGCUUUUUAAAUAGAGAAGGUGAAAAAUAAUAAAGUAAUCAUUAUUACAGGUAAGUGGUUUUAGUCACCUCUAUUUUACAAAUGUGUGCCCUCCAAAUGCUUGAGAGGGAAGUCAAAUAAGAUAGGUAAGUAUCUUUUUAGGAGGUUGAAUGAUGUUUCCUUAUAAAAAUGACAAUCAAGAAAUAGUCAUUUGUAUACUUAAUUGCCAAAGUUUUAAAAAAUUUUACAUUCCUUACCCUAAACCCAACUGCUCUCCCAUCCAGGAUUCAGAAAGGGCUCAGCAUAGAUCCAGGGUCCCAGGGCCCAGGUCAUUUCGUUUUUAGUCUAGGCCUUCUGUGCCUGCAUGUGGCAAGGGCAUUGAUGGCACCUGUGUCCUAGGACACAGUGUGUGUGUGCGUUUGGAGGCAGGGGCUGUGCCCAGACUUAUAUUCACCCCUUUCUAUCAG
Long non-coding RNA from Equus asinus (donkey), 1642 nucleotides. Lineage: Eukaryota; Metazoa; Chordata; Mammalia; Perissodactyla; Equidae. The record is from Ensembl.